UCCUACGGGGCGCAGCAGCAAGGAAUUUUCGUCAAUGGGCGCAAGCCUGAACGAGCAACGCCGCGUGGAGGAUGACGGCCUUCGGGUUGUAAACUCCUUUUUCGGGGGACGAUGAUGACGGUACCCCGGGAAUAAGGCUCGGCUAACUCUGUGCCAGCAGCCGCGGUAAGACAGAGGAGCCAAGCGUUGUCCGGAUUGACUGGGCGUAAAGCGCACGCAGGCGGUCUGGCGCGUGGGGUGUGAAAUCUGGCCGCUUAACGGCCAGGCGCCAUCCCAUACGGCCGGACUGGAGCCUUGCAGAGGGCGGUGGAAUUGCCGGUGUAGUGGUGAAAUGCGUAGAGAUCGGCAGGAACACCCAGGGGGAAACCAGCCGCCUGGGCAAGCGCUGACGCUGAGGUGCGAGAGCGUGGGGAGCGAACCGGAUUAGAUACCCCGGUAGUCCA
This 443-nucleotide ribosomal RNA is filed under the name uncultured bacterium. RNAcentral's name for it is "bacterial SSU rRNA". It matches the Rfam family "Bacterial small subunit ribosomal RNA", at positions 337 to 797 of the family's 1533-position model. The record is from RNAcentral.